This 468-nucleotide ribosomal RNA is filed under the name uncultured bacterium. RNAcentral describes it as "partial 16S ribosomal RNA". It matches the Rfam family "Bacterial small subunit ribosomal RNA", at positions 28 to 507 of the family's 1533-position model. The record is from RNAcentral.
GACGAACGCUGGCGGCGUGCUUAACACAUGCAAGUCGAACGGAAAGGCCCUGCUUUUGUGGGGUGCUCGAGUGGCGAACGGGUGAGUAACACGUGAGUAACCUGCCCUUGACUUUGGGAUAACUUCAGGAAACUGGGGCUAAUACCGGAUAGGAGCUCCUGCUGCAUGGUGGGGGUUGGAAAGUUUCGGCGGUUGGGGAUGGGCUCGCGGCUUAUCAGCUUGUUGGUGGGGUAGUGGCUUACCAAGGCUUUGACGAGUAGCCGGCCUGAGAGGGUGACCGGCCACAUUGGGACUGAGAUACGGCCCAGACUCCUACGGGAGGCAGCAGUGGGGAAUAUUGCACAAUGGGCGGAAGUCUGAUGCAGCAACGCCGCGUGCGGGAUGACGGCCUUCGGGUUGUAAACCGCUUUCGCCUGUGACGAAGCGUGAGUGACGGUAAUGGGUAAAGAAGCACCGGCUAACUACGUG